This 160-nucleotide ribosomal RNA is filed under the name Serratia sp. FBT1-8. Its description in RNAcentral is "partial 16S ribosomal RNA". It matches the Rfam family "Bacterial small subunit ribosomal RNA", at positions 344 to 496 of the family's 1533-position model. Lineage: Bacteria; Pseudomonadati; Pseudomonadota; Gammaproteobacteria; Enterobacterales; Yersiniaceae. The record is from RNAcentral.
GGAGGCAGCAGUGGGGAAUAUUGCACAAUGGGCGCAAGCCUGAUGCAGCCAUGCCGCGUGUGUGAAGAAGGCCUUCGGGUUGUAAAGCACUUUCAGCGAGGAGGAAGGGUAGUGUGUUAAUAGCACAGUGCAUUGACGUUACUCGCAGAAGAAGCACUGG